RNA transcript from Perca fluviatilis (European perch), 5306 nucleotides. It is a transcript of the gene named coiled-coil domain-containing protein 186, with no coding region annotated. The transcript is spliced from 16 exons. NCBI's taxonomy places the organism in Eukaryota, Metazoa, Chordata, Actinopteri, Perciformes, Percidae. The record is from RefSeq and is a predicted model, not a curated record.
GUUUCUCCCCUCCCGCAGUGGCCAUAUUUGUUGAUGUGUCAUAUCGAAGUGAGUUGUUGGGGCUAUCAGCUGGUAAAGCAGAGAGCCCAAAGUUAUCUCUUGCCUGGGUUCUCUCCGAAUUGAACUACACCAUGGCCUUUCCGCAUUCGAUUUAAACCAGAGGGACCAUGGAACAGCCUGGUCCUGCCUCAGAUACACACAUGAUGGAAGGAUCGGAGGUUGAAUCUGUGUUGGAGGGAUUGCAACUGGUGAAUCAACCUCACAACAGCACAUCUAACAUAGAAGAAGAGGAGGAACAAACCUCUCACGACAGUGCAGAUGAGGCAGAAAAGGGCAGUCAGGCAAAGGAUGAAUCAGAGCUUGACAGUAAAUUAAUCAAGACUACGACAGAGAUAAAGACAAAGUCGGAAGCUCAAACAUGCAGUCAGGAACAUGUAGAGGGGAGAGAGUUGGAUGCUGAUGACGGCUGUAAUAGCAGUACAGUUUCAAAGGAAGGUGGGAUCCCUUCACUUUCAAAUGAGGCUGGCCCAGUCACCCCUUUGGAUGAUGUGGUAGAAAGCUCUCCUUCUGUUCUUGAAGGGACAAUAGAAACCUUAUUGACUUUUGAUAAAGGGAAGGAUUCUCAUGCCACCACUCCAAACAGCAAUGAGCAGCCAUCAGUCUUGGUUACAAAUUGUCCCACAGAGCCAUCGCCUGCUGAUGAUAGGGAUUCAGCUGAGAGUCCAUCAUCCACUUCCAUCCAAAGCACUUCCAAAAACUCCCCCACCGACUCGACAACCUCCUCUGGGUUCUGUAAUGGACCUUCUACCCCCAGUUCAGAGACUGUUGGCUCCUCCUUUGCUUCCAGCCCACAAACCAGUGCUAACACCUCAGCCCCCUCACAUGCCUUGUCAAGUCCGUAUGACACUGAUUGCAGCCGAAAGCUCAUCUCCCAGAUCCAGCGCUCGCUGUCACAGGAGUCACUGCUGGAUGAGCUAGAGUCAGAGCUGUUGGCUUUUCAGCUGCCUGAGGGGGGACGUGGAGGUGAGAGGAAAGGGAGCCCACCUGUCAAUGGUCUCCCUACAGACCAAGAGGGCUGCAUGGUGGUCUUUGAGAAAUGUGUGCAAUUCAAGUAUGCACAGCAGGAGAAAUCUAUUCAGAGGCUGCUUGAGGAGAACAAGAGGCAUCAGGAGCUGAUCCUGGGUAUUUGUUCAGAGAAGGACAACAUGAGAGAAGAGCUGAAAAAGAGGGCAGAAACAGAAAAGCAGCACAUGGCCACUAUUAAAAAGUUGGAGGGCAGGGUGGAGGAGCUGCUGAAAGAACUUAAGGAGUCGCGGGAUAAACUAAUUCACCAGGACCAGGCAGCUAAGGCUGCCCUCCAGCACAUGCAUAAGGAGAUGUCCUACAGGCUUGAACAGGUGAACAAGAAGUGUGAUGAGGCACGCCAAGAGAAGGAGUCCAUGGUGAUGAAAUAUGUGCGGGGGGAGAAAGAGGCCCUGGACCUGAGGCGGGAUAAGGAGAGUUUGGAGAAGAGUCUGAGGGAAGCCACCAAGGAGGUAGACCGCCAGGCCCUCCGAGGAAACCAGCUGGCUCAGGAGAAAGGUCGGCUACAACAGCUGUAUGAUGCUAAGGAAGGCGAGGUUAGCAGGUUGACUCGAGAGGUGGAAAAGUUGAAGGAGGAGAUCAACUCGCAUCUUAUCAAGGUCAAAUGGGCCCAGAACAAGCUAAAGAGUGAGGCAGAUGCACACAAGGAAACUAAAGACAAACUGAGAGAGACCACUUCCAAACUGGCCCAGGCCAAAGAAGAGACUGAACAGAUCCGCAAGAACUGCCAGGACAUGAUCCGAACAUACCAGGAAUCGGAGGAACUCAAAUCGAACGAGCUGGAUGCUAAACUAAGGAAGACCAAAGUAGAGCUGGAGAAACACAAGCAGGAACAAACGGACCAGUUAGAGGUGCACCGAGUGAAGGCCAAAGAGCUGGAUGACCUGAAAAGGAGUUACAAAGAGGGCAUGGAUGAGCUCAUUACUCUACGAACCAAGUUAAAGUGUCUAGAGGACGAGCGUCCACGCUGGGAGGACGAGCUGAGCAAGUACAGGGAGAUCAUCAACCGGCAGAAAGCGGAGAUCGGACGCCAGAGAGAAAAGCUGGAAGAGAUCACUGCGCUCCAGGACCAGCAUCAACGUGAUAAACAGGAGAUCACAGCUCUUCGUGAGGAAAUGGACAGCCUGACCAACCAGAUGGCAGACCUUCAGCGUGAUGUACAAGGCAGCAGGGAGCGGGAGGCUGAGUUACUGGGCUUCACCGAGAAGCUGAGCAGCAAGAACGCCCAGCUCCAGUCAGAGAGCAACUCACUGCAGUCUCAGCUGGAUCAGCUCAACAGCAGCUUCACAGAGCUCCAAGCAAAGCUGGAGGAGACCAACAGGCUGCUAGAUGACAAGUCACGGCAGCUAAAACAGGAAGAGGUGCUGAGGCAGCAGGAGGUGCAGGGCCUGCAAGAGGAGCGGGCAGCACUGCAGACAGAGAUGGCUCAACUAAAAACCCGAGUUGAAGAGCUGAGGGAUGAGCUGGUGACUCAGAAAAGGAAACAAGCUGCCAACAUCAAGGACCUGACGAAGCAACUAACACAAGCCCGUAAGAGACUGGAGCAAGUUGAGAAUGGAGGCUGCGAACGGGAUGCCAGCAGUAUGGGCAGUCGCUCAAGUUCCUCAGGUACUGCUCCUGGAUUUGGCUCCUUGAAUGCACGCCACGUUGGGAUCAGUGGUGUUGAAGAGCGGUCACCAGAGAGCCAGUCGGGUCCUUCAGUGGUGGCCGUGGACAGCUUCCCAGAGGUCGACAAGACCAUGCUUGUGGAGCGCAUUGUCCGUCUGCAGAAGGCCCUGGCUCGCAAGCAGGAAAAAAUUGAGUUCAUGGAGGAUCACAUUAAGCAACUGGUGGAGGAGAUCCGCAAAAAGACCAAGACAGCCUGGUGAACACUGAUGAGCUAACUGUAAGCCUGAAGCAGGUGAUCAAUAAAGAGACAAGAGAUGUGGAAGCAGAAGCAUAGUGGUUCUCUGACAAAGGACAGUUAGUUUAAGAAAGACUGUUUUAUUUACGUUUCCACAUCCAUACCACUCUGUUGUAUGAUCAUAACAGUGUUUUUGCAUCUUUAACCUCAUUUACUAUUAACGAUUGUAACUAGGGCUGCACAAUAUAUCGUUUUUUAUCGUCAUCACGAUGUUAGCUCUGCGAUAAACUCAUUGCAAUAGACUGCCAUAUUGCACUUUGAAUAUACUAACAAAUUAAAUUACAUUCUGUCUUUAGCCACUAGUCUGUCUGGUACACGCUAUGCUGUUAUCUCUCUAGCCAAUCAGACAGAGCCCUCCUCUGAUUGGUCAGAAUCUGCACGCAUGUGAGUGAGGUUUAUUAGACCAGUGUGACAAGAUGAGUGCAGACGAAAGUGCGAAUACAAGAGAGGAACUGGUGCACUGGCAAUAUUUUGGAUAUAGCGGUGACAUGGCACAAGCACAUGUAGUUUGCGAGUCAAAAACUGAGUACACUUUAGUAUAUGUUUAUUUAUCACAAGUAAUAUUGUUAUCGUGAUACUCAACAACGUAAUCACAUAUUCCCUUAUGUCGUGCAGUCCUAAUUGUAACCAUUUACUACUCAUAUGUACCCACUAUUUUCCAAAGAGUUGCGAAGUGGGGGGAGCUAUUUCAGCUACCCCUGGUUCAGGAAGUAAAAGUUCCAUGGUACAUUUUGGUAAGAAACGUCCAAUCACAGAGCUUAAAACUCUGUUUGGCAAAACCUAGUCUACGCAGUUGAGAAAACUCAUGCUACAGUCUGCAGCUGGGUCAAUUUUGGAAGAAUUCGGCAACUAUGGCGCCAUGUUUUGUUCCUAGCUGCAACUGCAAUGUCAUAGUGUUUUGAAUUUGCUGAAGCUUUGAUCUGCGCCUCUGGCAUCAACAGCGUAUUGCAGUAUUUGCAUGGGUAUUGCAGUAUUUAGAGCAGUUUUCCAUGCCAUACUGAUGAAAAAACAUGAUGUUGAAAUAAUUAAAACUGGUGGCCACGAGAGAAACCCAUUGUGGGGGAAAUACUCAAACUUUGUAUCUCUAUUGCUACAUGAUUGUUUUAAGAUUUUAUUUUCACCUAUCAUGUAGCUUUUAAUUAUGUUUUCCGAGUGGCAUAUUCAUGUGCUGCAAGAAGUCAAACACGGGUCAUUGGCUGCAAUGUUCAUAUAGUAUAUGUGAUUUGUAGUAAAUGGGAUAAAACAUGCAGAAACAACCACGUCAUCCAAGUGCAAUGAUGUCUGUCCUUCAGUACCCACACCUGGUUAUUAGGACCAUUAAGUCUAAAUGGGCCAUUCGUGUGACUUGAAUUAAAAUUAUGCUGAUAUAAACCAAAUGAGCACAAAGCAGAAGGCUGCCUUCAGUUCAGAAGAUGUAGAUGGCUGUUUGUCUAAACAAAGCAACCCUUUUACUUUGUUGUAAUCAAUGCUAAGCAAUACAAGCUCUGUAGUAGGCUAUUAUGGAUCCACACCUGCUGAAUGUGUUACAUUAUAGUGGAUCCUUUCAAGGUUAUCUGGGAGUUCUGUCCUCCACUACCAGUAAGGCUUAGAUUUUUUUUAUGCUUUUAAAUUUUGGUUGAUAGGCAAGCCAGUGCCUGUGAUUUAUUUUGUGUAUAAUUCAGAGGACACAUUUAGAUUUGAUCAUUUAUCGAGCAUGUACGGCUGUACAUGUUGCAACAAAAAGCUUUUAAACAUGAAACUGAUAAUUGCCUUUUUGAAAUUCAUGGUUUUUGCCUGCUUAGUUCUAGAUCCGAUAAAGAUAAAACAUACAAACAACCACAGGCAUAUCGUUCUUUCUCUGCAUCUUCGCUUUUUGUCUUUCCGCUUUUUGGGAACAAGGUUUAGUCACCAAGAUCUGGGCUGUUUAGUGUGGUCCAACUGUACCCAGAAUUGCCACCUUCACUUCAUGCAUGCUUGACUUGCCGCCCUCAUUGCUUCCACUCUCUCAACUUGGAAAAAAAGGACGUAUUACUCACAAAUUCAAAAAGAAGUCUUGCUUACAUCCCUGCCCCCCGCCGAACUGUGCAUGCCAUUCAGCACACCAUGUGGCCACAUCUUUAAUUUCUGUCACUUUUUUGUUUUUACUAAACACUGUCGAGAUGGAACUGGGGUCCAAAUAUGGACCCUUGCAAGUCUAGUCAGAGAAUUAUCCAGAGCUAUGUGCUAAGAGAGGAGUCAGGGGCCUUCUCAUCAGAGGCGUCGGACAUUAACAAGGCCAACCUUAGCCGGCGGGGAGGCAUCAUGGCUUCGCUUUACUCCUCCCACCCGGCAGACAGCGGGC